CCUACGGGAGGCAGCAGUGAGGAAUAUUGGUCAAUGGACGAGAGUCUGAACCAGCCAAGUAGCGUGAAGGAUGACUGCCCUAUGGGUUGUAAACCUCUUUUAUAAAGGAAUAAAACGAGGCACGCGUGCCUUUUUGCAUGUACCUUAUGAAUAAGGAUCGGCUAACUCCGUGCCAGCAGCCGCGGUAAUACGGAGGAUCCGAGCGUUAUCCGGAUUUAUUGGGUUUAAAGGGAGCGUAGAUGGGUUGUUAAGUCAGUUGUGAAAGUUUGCGGCGCAACCGUAAAAUUGCAAUUGAUACUGGCAGUCGUGAGUAGAGGUGAGGUAAGCGGAAUUCGUGGUGUAGCGGUGAAAUGCUUAGAUAUCGCGAAGAACCCCGAUUGCGAAGGCAGCUUACUAGACUGUGACUGACAUUGAUGCUCGAAAGUGUGGGUAUCGAACAGGAUUAGAUACCCCAGUAGUC
This 460-nucleotide ribosomal RNA is filed under the name uncultured bacterium. RNAcentral's name for it is "partial 16S ribosomal RNA". It matches the Rfam family "Bacterial small subunit ribosomal RNA", at positions 338 to 795 of the family's 1533-position model. The record is from RNAcentral.